Molecule: ribosomal RNA, 786 nt
Filed under: Triticum aestivum (bread wheat)
Lineage: Eukaryota; Viridiplantae; Streptophyta; Magnoliopsida; Poales; Poaceae
Description: partial small subunit ribosomal RNA
Source: RNAcentral
AUGACGAAGACGAUGCCGCGUGACUCUUCAGCGAGUGGAGCAUUGGUGCCGAGCGACUCGGCGGCGAUGGCGGCUGCCGCGACGGCGGCGGCGGGGAAACUCCCGUUCCCGCUGCUCACGAGGACUAACUACACGGCGUGGGCGAUGAGGAUGAAGUACCUCCUGCAUGCCAACGGCGCAUGGGCUGCCGUUGAUCGCGAGGCGUCGUCCACGGAGGUCGACAAGGCCAAGGAGGAGAUGGCCAUGACGAUCAUCUCCCAGUCGAUCGACGACACAACGCUGCUGCGAGUUGCGGAGAAGGAGACCGCCGCCGAUGUGUGGGCGGCGCUACGCUCCAUGCACGUGGGCGUCGAGCGCGUCCGAGAGGCGAGGAUUCAGUCCUUGCGCUUGGAGUUUGACGGCCUCAAGAUGGGUGAUGCGGAGUCCGUGGAUGACUUCGCGGCGAGGUUCACGACACUCGUGGGGCGCAUCCGUGAGCUUGGUGAUGCGAUGGAGGAGAAAUACGUCGUGAAGAAGCUGCUCCGAGCCGUCUCCAAUAAGUUCAUCCAUGUUGCGUCGUCAAUUGCGUUGUUCGGCGACACCAACAAGAUGGCCAUGGAGGAGGCCAUUGGUUCACUCAAGGCACAUGAGAAACUCGUCAAGGGGCGUGAGACGGGACGCGAAGAAGAGCAGCUCCUCAUGGCGAGAGGGCAGGACUCGUCACGUGGACGGGGUCGUGGCCGUGGCCGUGCACGCGGUGGAGGCCGCAAACACAAAAGUGAGGUAGAGUGUUAUAAUUGUCAUUAA